UCAUCCUAUCUGGGCCCGUCCUCUCCUCAGGUGUCCCACCCCAGAGCUUGCCAUAUAGUAGGAGACAUGCAAAUACCGUCCUCCCUCUGCUGAUGAAAACCAGCCCAGCCCUGACCCUGCAGCUCUAGGAGAGGAGCCCCAGCCCUGAGAUUUCCAGGUGUUUCCUUUUGGUGAUCAGCAUUGAACACAGACCACCCCCAUGGAGUUUGGGCUGAGCUGGGUUUUCCUUGUUGCUAUUUUAAAAGGUGUCCAGUGUGAGGUGCAGCUGGUGGAGUCUGGGGGAGGCUUGGUACAGCCUGGGGGGUCCCUGAGACUCUCCUGUGCAGCCUCCGGAUUCACCUCAGGUAACUCUGACUUGAUCUGGAUCCGCCAGGCUCCAGGGAAGGGUCUGGAGUGGGUCUCAUACAUUAGUAGUGGUGGUAGUACAUACUACUCAGACUCUGUCAAGGGCCGAUUCACCAUCUCCAGAGAGAACGCCAAGAACACGCUGUAUCUGCAAAUGAGCAGCCUGAGAGUGGAGGACACGGCUGUGUAUUACUGUGUGAGAGACACAGUGAGGGGAGGUCAGUGUGAGCCCAGACACAAACCUCCCUGCAGGAACGCUGGGGAGAAAUCAGCUGCAGGGGGCGCUCAGGAGCCACUGA
Chlorocebus sabaeus (green monkey) is the source of this 644-nucleotide non-coding RNA. The record is from RefSeq and is a predicted model, not a curated record. Lineage: Eukaryota; Metazoa; Chordata; Mammalia; Primates; Cercopithecidae.